GACGAACGCUGGCGGUGUGCUUAAUACAUGCAAGUCGAACGGCUCUUCGGAGCAGUGGCGGACGGCUGAGUAACGCGUAGGUAACGUGCCUCUUACUGGGGGAUAACAUCGGGAAACUGGUGCUAAUACCGCAUAAGUCACGAGUUGAAAUACUUGUGAUAAAGAAUUUCGGUAAGAGAUCGGCCUGCGUCUGAUUAGCUAGUUGGUAGGGUAAUGGCCUACCAAGGCGAUGAUCAGUAGUUGGUCUGAGAGGAUGACCAGCCAGAGUGGGACUGAGAACGGCCCACACUUCUACGGAAGGCAGCAGUAGGGAAUUUUGCGCAAUGGGCGAAAGCCUGACGCAGCAACACCGCGUGCGGGAUGAAGGCCUUCGGGUCGUAAACCGCUGUCGGCAGGGAAUAAAUUGACUGUACCUGCAAAGGAAGCACCGGCUAACUACGUGCCAGCAGCCGCCGUAA
This 458-nucleotide ribosomal RNA is filed under the name uncultured bacterium. RNAcentral's name for it is "partial 16S ribosomal RNA". It matches the Rfam family "Bacterial small subunit ribosomal RNA", at positions 28 to 523 of the family's 1533-position model. The record is from RNAcentral.